UGGGGAAUCUUGCGCAAUGCGCGAAAGCGUGACGCAGCAACGCCGCGUGAGGGAAGACGGCCUUCGGGUUGUAAACCUCUUUCAGUUGGGACGAAGCUUCGCCGGUGAACAGCCGGCUGGAGUGACGGUACCUUCAGAAGAAGCCCCGGCUAACUACGUGCCAGCAGCCGCGGUAAUACGUAGGGGGCAAGCGUUGUCCGGAAUCAUUGGGCGUAAAGCGCGUGUAGGCGGCUCGAUGAGUCCGCUCUGAAAGUCCGGGGCUCAACCCCGGGAGGCGGGUGGAUACUGUCGGGCUCGAGUCCGGAAGAGGCGAGUGGAAUUCCUGGUGUAGCGGUGAAAUGCGCAGAUAUCAGGAGGAACACCAAUGGCGAAGGCAGCUCGCUGGGACGGUACUGACGCUGAGACGCGAAAGCGUGGGGAGCAAACAG
This 428-nucleotide ribosomal RNA is filed under the name uncultured bacterium. RNAcentral describes it as "bacterial SSU rRNA". It matches the Rfam family "Bacterial small subunit ribosomal RNA", at positions 355 to 775 of the family's 1533-position model. The record is from RNAcentral.